AGUGAGAGCGUACGACAGGUGGCUGCAUGGCUGUCGUCAGCUCGUGUCGUGAGAUGUUGGGUUAAGUCCGCACGAGCGCAACCCUGCAUUCAGUUGCCAUCGGUAAGGCCGGGCACUCUGGAUGGACUGCCGGCGACAAGCCGGAGGAAGGUGGGGACGACGUCAAGUCAUCAUGGCCCUUAUGUCCAGGGCGACACACGUGCUACAAUGGCCGGCACAACGGGAAGCGAAGGGGCGACCCUGAGCGGAUCCCACAAAAGCCGGUCUCAGUUCGGAUUGCAGUCUGCAACUCGACUGCAUGAAGUUGGAAUCGCUAGUAAUCGUGGAUCAGCCAAGCCGCGGUGAAUACGUUCCCGGGCCUU
RNAcentral lists this ribosomal RNA (362 nucleotides) under uncultured Thermovirga sp. RNAcentral describes it as "bacterial SSU rRNA". It matches the Rfam family "Bacterial small subunit ribosomal RNA", at positions 1020 to 1382 of the family's 1533-position model. Lineage: Bacteria; Thermotogati; Synergistota; Synergistia; Synergistales; Thermovirgaceae. The record is from RNAcentral.